RNAcentral lists this ribosomal RNA (993 nucleotides) under Triticum aestivum (bread wheat). RNAcentral describes it as "partial small subunit ribosomal RNA". The record is from RNAcentral. Lineage: Eukaryota; Viridiplantae; Streptophyta; Magnoliopsida; Poales; Poaceae.
AUGGCUCAGUCGGACUCAAGAGCGGCUGGACUAGAGGACACCAUCGUCUUCACAUCACAUAUGUCUAUUGAAUUUGAUGAGCGAAGGGCAUGGAGCCAAGAAGGUUGGAUCGUGCGGUUGUUAGAAUCCUCGCAGUGUGUUGAACCUCCCAAUGGAGCUGCUGUGUUCGGCAAUGGCCAUGUGACGGACAGAGCGAGAGGCACAUCAUCAUGGCCAGACGCAACAAGGGAUGUUGGCUCGGAUAAAAAGGAUUGCAACAUUGGUAGUACUGUUGAUAGGAUGGUUAGUUUUGGAAGGGGAAUGGUAGUAUGCGCAGAGAUUGAAAACAAGGCUGCAGUGCAAACACUCUUGCUCAACCAAUUUAAGCUCAGUGUCAGCUCUUUGUGCUCUUUCCUUCUUGCUGAACCAAUGUUUCCUCAUGAGCCCCAGAAGCAUCCAAUCUCGCCUUUGACGCAUUGCCGGAACACCUUCCGCCGUCCGCACGUGCUCCACACUUCGCCGGAAAUUCUUCUGCAGGUUUUCCAUUUGAGGCUAUGCGAUGAAGCUGAUAGAAUUGCUAGAAAUCAGAAGAUGAACAAUGGAAUAGAGGAGACAAAAGUUGUUGCGGCUGCCAUGCGCAAUGAAGGAUGGGUACGAUGGUCAGCGGGAUGGGAUGCAACGGCUCGCAGGGGCAGCGCCUUCGGCGGCAGGCGCUGGGGCAAUGAAUUCUCCUUGUGCGUUGGAGUCAGUUGCAUGCUAACUGGACAAUGCGUUAGCUUGUUCUGUACUUACUCUGUAGCUACCAGUGAUCAAAGUUGGAAGCCCAAUGUGUACUGCUCUAAAUUGCUUCAGCGAUCAGGUGUCCUGCUAUAUGGACCUCCAGGCACUGGGAAGACAUUACUUGUGAAAGCAGUAGCAACUGAGUGUUCAUUAAACUUUCUUAGCGUAAAAGGUCUAGAACUAACAAACAUGUAUGUUGGAGAGUCAGAGAGGAAUAUCAGGGACAUCUUUUAG